Molecule: long non-coding RNA, 930 nt
Organism: Lates calcarifer (barramundi perch)
Lineage: Eukaryota; Metazoa; Chordata; Actinopteri; Centropomidae
Exons: 2
Source: RefSeq, a predicted model, not a curated record
AGUUCUACAGUGGUUAUUAAGGUGGCAGAGUUCACAAAUCCUGGUUGAUUUUUCUUGUUUCAGGUCUUUGUUUUCCUGAUAUUUUGUAAUGAAAGGAAAGGUCAAAGUGUGCAAUAACAACCUUCCUGUGAACACACUGUUUCAACAAAUACAGACCGGCUCACUAAAAAACAAACAGAACAAGUCAGAGCCAGACACUGUUGUUUGUGGGAAGUCAUGAAGAUAAGCACUGUUGAAACAAGUCGAUCAUUUUGAUGGGCUAAUGUGGUUACAUCCAGGAGACGCUCAGCGAACAGUCAUGUAAUUAUGAAAGACAAAUCUCUCACACAGACAUUAAUUCAGACCCUGUACACGUGCCAGGAAACGAGCCGACCCACAGGGAUAUAUGAAGUAAUUACAGCGCUAAGUGUCUCCUUCAAGAGUUGAGGUAUAUGUAUGAGAGUUUCCUGCAGCCUGUCCAUCGGAGGUAGUGGCGCAUGGGUUGUGCAUGGAAAUGUUCACUCACUCCAACAAGAGAAGUGUGGAUUUUGGCACUCACCAGCGGCUCAGAGAGUGGGUGUGGUCAAGGGUUAAAGGUCACAAGGUGAGAACCGGGCCAGCGCUGACACCAAACCUUCGUUCACUCGUGGAAUUUGUGAGAGUGUGUGGAAGGGUGAGAGAAAGUUCAUCUUUCAUCCGUCCGUCUUCUGUUUUUUCUGCAGACAGAAGACGACUUAAUCAGAGGGUUGAAUGUAUCUGUGAGUAAUGAUAACAAGGAGAGUGUCACCAGUGCUUCCACAUGCUUCCUCUCUUCAUUAUAGCUCAAUACUCUCUCUCCUUAACAUUUCCUCCUCAUAAAAAGCUUCACCAAACUUGUUUGCAAGGUUCCCCAUAAUCCAUAGGAAUAUGGAUGUGAUGACAUAAGCCAAUAAACAUGUGUAUUCUUACUUA